UCCGUAGGCGGGCAAUUAAGUCAGAGGUGAAAUCCCACAGCUCAACUGUGGAACUGCCUUUGAUACUGGUUGUCUUGAGUUACAGUGAAGUAGAUAGAAUAUGUAGUGUAGCGGUGAAAUGCAUAGAUAUUACAUAGAAUACCGAUUGCGAAGGCAGUCUACUAACUGUAUACUGACGCUAAUGGACGAAAGCGUGGGGAGCGAACAGGAUUAGAUACCCUGAUAGUCC
This 229-nucleotide ribosomal RNA is filed under the name uncultured bacterium. RNAcentral describes it as "partial 16S ribosomal RNA". It matches the Rfam family "Bacterial small subunit ribosomal RNA", at positions 568 to 796 of the family's 1533-position model. The record is from RNAcentral.